This 406-nucleotide ribosomal RNA is filed under the name uncultured bacterium. RNAcentral's name for it is "partial 16S ribosomal RNA". It matches the Rfam family "Bacterial small subunit ribosomal RNA", at positions 29 to 526 of the family's 1533-position model. The record is from RNAcentral.
AUUGAACGCUGGCGGCAGGCCUAACACAUGCAAGUCGAACGCGUGGCGGACGGGUGAGUAAUGUCUGGGAAACUGCCUGAUGGAGGGGGAUAACUACUGGAAACGGUAGCUACUACCGCAUACCAUCGGAUGUGCCCAGAUGGGAUUAGCUAGUAGGGGGGGUAACGGCUCACCUAGGCGACGAUCCCUAGCUGGUCUGAGAGGAUGACGAGCCACACUGGAACGGAGACACGGUCCAGACUCCGACGGGAGGCAGCAGUGGGGAAUAUUGCACAAUGGGCGCAAGCCUGAUGCAGCCAUGCGGCGUGUAUGAAGAAGGCCUUCGGGUUGUAAAGUACGUUCAGCGGGGAGGCGUUACCCGCAGAAGAAGCACCGGCUAACUCCGUGCCAGCAGCCGCGGUAAUUC